This 275-nucleotide ribosomal RNA is filed under the name uncultured Dermacoccus sp. RNAcentral's name for it is "partial 16S ribosomal RNA". It matches the Rfam family "Bacterial small subunit ribosomal RNA", at positions 338 to 625 of the family's 1533-position model. Lineage: Bacteria; Bacillati; Actinomycetota; Actinomycetes; Micrococcales; Dermacoccaceae. The record is from RNAcentral.
CCUACGGGGGGCUGCAGUGGGGAAUAUUGCACAAUGGGCGAAAGCCUGAUGCAGCGACGCCGCGUGAGGGAUGACGGCCUUCGGGUUGUAAACCUCUUUCACCAGGGACGAAGCGGAAGUGACGGUACCUGGAGAAGAAGCACCGGCUAACUACGUGCCAGCAGCCGCGGUAAUACGUAGGGUGCGAGCGUUGUCCGGAAUUAUUGGGCGUAAAGAGCUUGUAGGCGGUUUGUCGCGUCUGCUGUGAAAGACCGGGGCUUAACUCCGGUUCUGCA